AUCUGGUGGCUGAGGACCCUACACAGAAAAGAGAAGUGAAAGGAUUUUCUUCCUGAAGGACCCACACAGCUGGAUUUCUUCCCUAAGACAGAAAAACCUGGAGGAGGAGCUGGGUUUGUAGAGGCCCUACUCCCCCACUGGGCUGCCCGAGGACAUCGAGGACAUCGAAGGUCUGCAUCUGUUCAUCGCUCAACCCCAAAACUCAAGGGAUCAGUUGGAAUAGUCAGGAAUCUUGCUUCCCCAGAUGUGGGGCCACAAAGCCCUGGGCAGGGGACAACGGGUAGGAGCGGGAGCCCAUGCCGGCACUCUCCUCUUCAGGAGUGUGUGAGUUUGGACGGUGGUUUCCUCCUGCAUGCCCUGGCCCUGGUGGUACCUGCUUCCCCACAGUGCUGAACUGGUGACACUUGAAAGAGAGAGAGUCACAAAAGCUCCUUGCAAACUGCCAGGCAUUGUGCAGAAGUGAGACGGAGUGACAGUAGCACCCCGUCCAUCAGGCCCCCAAAGCCAGCUCGGACUCACUCUAUUGGCAGCUCUGGCCACAAAGGAGUCACUGAGUAAGCAGAUGAUUAGUUACCCAGUAAGUCUUGCAGCCUAAGGAAGGGGGGUCCUAUGGGAGCCCAUGGGGGAGAUGGGGGGCACCAGGACAGACAGUGACACUGACCAGGAACAUGGGAAGAUUCUCAGCACCACACUUCAUACUGUGUCCAUGAAGCAUCUCAGCCUCUCAGCAGGUUCCUAACCUUGCUGGGGAGACAGGGCUCCAAGAGAGCCCUGUGCUCAUUCUUCCACCCAGAACAUGAGGGAAUUGUCCAGUGACUCCUGCUCCCCUGCCCUAGUUCCUCUCCCAAGUUCUUGCCACUGUGGACAGUGACCCUCUAGAAGGGCUUGUUGCAGUCCCAUCAAUAUGUAUAACUAUGAUGCAUUAAUUAAAAAUGUGUGUGUGGCAGGGAGAAGAAUGGCUAAUUGCACCCAAAGGGGUGACCCACACCUGUCAUCUCAGUGACUUGGGAGGCUGAGAAAGGAGAAUUUCAAGUUUGAGGCCAGCCUGGGCAAUUAAGGAAGAGCCUGUCUUAAAAGAAAAAAAUAAAAUCUUUUAGGGGAUAUAGCUCAGUGGUAGCGUGCACCUGGAUUCAAUUCCCAGUGCCCCCCUCCCACACAAAGUGGCUCAUUGCAAGGAUGAUCCUAUGGACACAGUUUCCUAGAAUAUGACAACUCCAAUAGGAGACAGCAUCUACACAAC
Molecule: long non-coding RNA, 1240 nt
Filed under: Marmota monax (woodchuck)
Lineage: Eukaryota; Metazoa; Chordata; Mammalia; Rodentia; Sciuridae
Source: RNAcentral